This 30-nucleotide non-coding RNA is filed under the name Mus musculus (house mouse). Lineage: Eukaryota; Metazoa; Chordata; Mammalia; Rodentia; Muridae. The record is from RNAcentral.
UACAAAAUGGCUAUAGGUAUUUUACAAGGA